GACGAACGCUGGCGGCGUGCUUAACACAUGCAAGUCGAACGGUGAAGCGCCUUCCUUUUUGGUGGGUGUGGAUGAGUGGCGAACGGGUGAGUAACACGUGAGUAACCUGCCCCCUUCUUCUGGAUAACCGCAUGAAAGUGUGGCUAAUACGGGAUAUUCUGGGUCUGUCGCAUGAUGGGUCUGGGAAAGAUAUUGUUUCGGUGGGGGAUGGGCUCGCGGCCUAUCAGCUUGUUGGUGGGGUGAUGGCCUACCAAGGCGGUGACGGGUAGCCGGCCUGAGAGGGUGGACGGUCACACUGGGACGGAGACACGGCCCAGACUCCGACGGGAGGCAGCAGGGGGGAAUAUUGCACAAUGGGCGCAAGCCUGAUGCAGCGACGCCGCGUGAGGGAUGGAGGCCUUCGGGUUGUGAACCUCUUUCGCCAGUGAAGCAGGCCUGCCUCGUUUGUGGGUGGGUUGACGGUAGCUGGAUAAGAAGCGCCGGCUAACUACGUG
RNAcentral lists this ribosomal RNA (494 nucleotides) under uncultured bacterium. RNAcentral's name for it is "partial 16S ribosomal RNA". It matches the Rfam family "Bacterial small subunit ribosomal RNA", at positions 28 to 507 of the family's 1533-position model. The record is from RNAcentral.